AAUGUCAUGCCGGAUAAACGGACUACUUUGAUGGUGUAGAUCAUGAGCACUGCUCUGACAUUU
RNAcentral lists this transfer RNA (63 nucleotides) under Anodontites trapesialis. RNAcentral describes it as "tRNA-Ile". The record is from RNAcentral. Lineage: Eukaryota; Metazoa; Mollusca; Bivalvia; Unionida; Mycetopodidae.